UUGCAGCCGAGCCUCAUCUGUCCAGCGCAGAUCGACUUAUUGAUCUGGGCGUAGCCGGUUUGUUAAGCGAGAGUGAAAGCCCCGGGCUCAACCUGGGAACUGUAUUUCGAACUGGCAAACUAGAGUGUGAUAGAGGGUGG
This 140-nucleotide ribosomal RNA is filed under the name Pseudoalteromonas sp. S2051. RNAcentral's name for it is "partial 16S ribosomal RNA". The record is from RNAcentral. Lineage: Bacteria; Pseudomonadati; Pseudomonadota; Gammaproteobacteria; Alteromonadales; Pseudoalteromonadaceae.